GGUUAAGUGAAUUAAGCGUGUACGGUGGAUGCCUAGGCAAUCAGAGGCGAUGAAGGACGUGUUAAUCUGCGAUAAGCAUCGGUAAGGUGAUAUGAACCGUUAUAACCGGUGAUUUCCGAAUGGGUAAACCUGAUAUAUAUUAUUGUAUAUCAUUAAUAAUUUAAAUUAUUAAUGCUAACUAAGAGAACUGAAACAUCUAAGUAUCUUAAGGAAAAGAAAUCAAUUGAGAUUCCCUAAGUAGUGGCGAGCGAAAAGGGAUUAGCUCUGAACUAUAUCUAAUAUAUAUAUUAAUAGAAUAAAUUGGAAAAUUUAGCUAUAAAGGGUGAUAGCCCCGUAUAUGAAAGUAUUAAUAUUAGAAGUUCUAAGAGUAGAACGGGACACGAGAAAUCCUGUUUGAAUAUAGGGGGACCAUCCUCUAAGGCUAAAUACUCCUGAUUGACCGAUAGUGAACUAGUACCGUGAGGGAAAGGUGAAAAGAACCCCGGUUAGGGGAGUGAAAUAGAACCUGAAACCGUAUACGUACAAGCAGUAGGAGCUUUUGAUUUUAAAAGUGACUGCGUACCUUUUGUAUAAUGGGUCAGCGAGUUGUAUUUUGUAGCAAGGUUAACAGUAUAUGGGAGCCGAAGGGAAACCGAGUCUUAAAUUGGGCGUUAAGUUUCAAAAUACAGACCCGAAACCCGGUGAUCUAGCCAUGAGCAGGUUGAAGGUUAGUUAACUCUAAUUGGAGGACCGAACCGACUGAUGUUGAAAAAUCAGCGGAUGACUUGUGGCUAGGGGUGAAAGGCCAAUCAAACCGGGAGAUAGCUGGUUCUCCUCGAAAGCUAUUUAGGUAGCGCCUUAUAAAUUCAUCUUUAGGGGUAGAGCACUGUUUCGGUCAGGGGACUUACCGGUCUACUAAUCCGUUGCAAACUUCGAAUACUAAAGAAUGUUAUUAUAGGAGACACACAGCGGGUGCUAAGAUCCGUUGUGGAAAGGGAAACAGCCCAGAUCGCCAGCUAAGGUCCCUAAGUUAUAAUUAAGUGGAAAACGAUGUGAGAAGUCUAAAACAACCAGGAUGUUGGCUUAGAAGCAGCCAUCAUUUAAAGAAAGCGUAAUAGCUCACUGGUCUAGUCAUUUUGCGCGGAAGAUUUAACGGGGCUAAAUUAUACACCGAAGCUGCGGCAGCAAUAUUUGUAUUUUAUUGUUGGGUAGAGGAGCGUUCUGUAAGCUGAUGAAGAUAUAUUGUAAAAUAUGUUGGAGGUAUCAGAAGUGCGAAUGCUGACAUGAGUAACGAUAAAGCAGGUGAAAAACCUGCUCGCCGAAAAACUAAGGUUUCCUGUCCUACGUUAAUCGAGGCAGGGUUAGUCGAACCCUAAGGCGAGGCCGAUAGGCGUAGUCGAUGGAUAACAGGUUAAUAUUCCUGUACUUGAUAUUGUUAAUGAUGGGGGGACGAAAAAGGUUAUAUCAUCCAGAUAUUGGAUUAUUUGGUUUAAGCAUGUAGAUGGGGUCUAUAGGAAAAUCCGUAGAUCUAUUAACAUUGAGAUGUUAUGACGAGAUUCGUUAUUGAAUUGAAGUGAUAAAUACCAUGUUUCCUAGAAAAGCCUCUAAUUUUUUUAGAAAUAGUAUCAAUUCGUACCACAAACCGACACAGGUAGUUAGGUAGAGAAUACUAAGGCGCUUGAGAGAACCCAGGUGAAGGAACUAGGCAAAAUAGUGCCGUAACUUUGGGAGAAGGCACGCUGAUAUUAGGUGAAAACAAUUUACUUGUAGAGCUGAAAUCAGUCGCAGAGAAUAGCUGGCUGCAACUGUUUAUUAAAAACAUAGCACUGUGCAAACACGUAAGUGGAAGUAUACGGUGUGACGCCUGCCCGGUGCCGGAAGGUUAAUUGAAGGGGUUAAAAAGAAAUUUUGAAGCUCUAGAUUGAAGCCCCGGUAAACGGCGGCCGUAACUAUAACGGUCCUAAGGUAGCGAAAUUCCUUGUCGGGUAAGUUCCGACCUGCACGAAUGGCGUAAUGAUGGCCAGACUGUCUCCACCUGGGACUCAGUGAAAUUGAAUUCGCUGUGAAGAUGCAGCGUAACCACGGCAAGACGGAAAGACCCCGUGAACCUUUACUAUAGCUUGACACUGAAUUUGAAAUAUUAAUGUGCAGGAUAGGUGGGAGUUGAUGAAGUAUAGAUGUCAAUUUAUAUGGAAACGUCCUUGAGAUACCACCCUUUAAUCUUUUAAUUUCUAACCUAGUAUAAUACAACUACAGGGACAGUGUCUGGUGGGUAGUUUGACUGGGGCGGUCUCCUCCUAAAGAGUAACGGAGGAGCACAAAGAUCGGCUAAUCACGGUCGGAAAUCGUGAGUUUAGUGUAAAGGCAAAAGCCGGUUUAACUGGGAGCGUGACGGCGCGACCAGAUGCGAAAGCAGGUCUUAGUGAUCCGAUGGUUCUGUAUGGAAAGGCCAUCGCUCAACGGAUAAAAGGUACUCCGGGGAUAACAGGCUAAUACCGCCCAAGAGUUCAUAUCGACGGCGGUGUUUGGCACCUCGAUGUCGGCUCAUCACAUCCUGGGGCU
This 2541-nucleotide ribosomal RNA is filed under the name Candidatus Purcelliella pentastirinorum. Its description in RNAcentral is "bacterial LSU rRNA". It matches the Rfam family "Bacterial large subunit ribosomal RNA", at positions 1 to 2554 of the family's 2925-position model. The record is from RNAcentral. Lineage: Bacteria; Pseudomonadati; Pseudomonadota; Gammaproteobacteria; Enterobacterales; Enterobacteriaceae.